This 141-nucleotide non-coding RNA is filed under the name Rhodobacteraceae bacterium HTCC2083. RNAcentral describes it as "FMN riboswitch aptamer (RFN element)". It matches the Rfam family "FMN riboswitch aptamer (RFN element)". From Rfam's summary of the family: The RFN element is a highly conserved domain that is found frequently in the 5'-untranslated regions of prokaryotic mRNAs that encode for flavin mononucleotide (FMN) biosynthesis and transport proteins. This element is a metabolite-dependent riboswitch that directly binds FMN in the absence of proteins. In Bacillus subtilis, the riboswitch most likely controls gene expression by causing premature transcription termination within the 5' untranslated region of the ribDEAHT operon and precluding access to the ribosome-binding site of ypaA mRNA. The record is from Rfam by way of RNAcentral. RNAcentral also lists the same sequence under 1 other name. Lineage: Bacteria; Pseudomonadati; Pseudomonadota; Alphaproteobacteria; Rhodobacterales; Paracoccaceae.
CGAUGUUCUCAGGGCAGGGUGAAAGUCCCUACCGGCGGUGAUAGCCCGCGAGCGCUAGUGACCCUAAAGCGGAUCAUUGGGACAGCAGAUUUGGUGGAAUUCCAGAGCCGACGGUGAAAGUCCGGAUGAAAGAGAGCGGUU